CAGGGUCCCCUUCCCCGGCACCCAUGCGCCGGGCCCAGAGCUCCCUCUGCCUGCGGGAUGAGACCUUGGCAGGCGGGCAGCGGCGGAAACUCAGCUCAAGGUUCCCGGUGGGGCGAAGCUCUGAGUCAUUCAGCCCUGGGGACACCCCUAGGCAACGAUUCCGACAGCGCCAUCCAGGCCCCCUGGGGGCGCCCGUCUCCCACAGCAAAGGACCUGGUGUGGGAUGGGAGAACUCCGCUGAGACCCUGCAGGAACACGAAACAGAUGCCAACCGAGAGGGCCCCGAGGCACAGGAACCGGAGAAACGUCCCCUCACCCCAUCCCUCAGCCAGUGACACCGUGGGAACAGCAGGCUUGGGAGUGCAGCCUUCUCGGCACUGGAGUGUCAGCGGAGGCCCCAGGCAGCCCAAGAGCUCAGGGAGCCAGGGACCCCAAGGGGAGUCCUUGGACAAGGAGGCCUGGGCCCUGAGAUCCUCCACGGUCAGCGCCGGGGCCCGGAGAUGGAGCUGGGACGAGUGUGUGGACAGGGGGGAUGGCUGGCCCCCACGAGCAGCUCCAGGCCGGAGUUCUGGUUCUUCCAGGUGGCUCCCGCUGAGGCAGCGGUCUCUGGGGGAUCCCCCAGCUGAAGGAGGCUGGCAGGAGUCGGCAAGAGAACCCCGUGCCCUGUCCAGGUGGGGAGCUGAGUCCCAGUGCUGGGGGACUGUGGCCUGGGCUGAUCUUGAGCCUUAACUGGACAUGAGGGGCAUGAGAAUAAAGCUGAACUGCAGCCUCCUGAGUCUUGCUCUGUCUGUUGGCCGCAUUGGGUACCUCAGGGCACCAGGACACAUGCCGCCCCAGUCCUCCUGGUUGGUGGGGGUCUGUGGGCAGAGGGCCCCUGCCUGGACAGGGCAGCACAGGCCUUUCUCCAGGGGCUUGGCCAGUCCGGCCGGCCAAAGCCCGGAUGUCCUGGUGAGGUGGAGAGGGGAUGACAUCCUGGGUAGCCAGCAGGGAUUGGGGUCUAAGAUCUGGGCUCAGGGGUGUGGGGCAGUGAAGCCCCU
RNAcentral lists this long non-coding RNA (1037 nucleotides) under Pan troglodytes (chimpanzee). RNAcentral's name for it is "long non-coding RNA NONPTRT002672". The record is from RNAcentral. Lineage: Eukaryota; Metazoa; Chordata; Mammalia; Primates; Hominidae.